RNAcentral lists this ribosomal RNA (428 nucleotides) under uncultured bacterium. Its description in RNAcentral is "bacterial SSU rRNA". It matches the Rfam family "Bacterial small subunit ribosomal RNA", at positions 504 to 930 of the family's 1533-position model. The record is from RNAcentral.
GGUGUCAGCCGCCGCGGUAAAACGUAGGAGGCGAGCGUUAUCCGGAUUUACUGGGUGUAAAGCGCAUGCAGGCGGUUCUGUAAGUUCGGUGUGAAAGCUCCUGGCUCAACUGGGAGAGGUCGCUGAAGACUGCAGGGCUUGAGCGUGGUAGGGGAAGGCGGAAUUCCGGGUGUAGUGGUGAAAUGCGUAGAUAUCCGGAGGAACACCAGUGGCGAAGGCGGCCUUCUGGACCACGACUGACGCUCAGAUGCGAAAGCUAGGGUAGCAAACGGGAUUAGAGACCCCGGUAGUCCUAGCCGUAAACGAUGUGAACUUGGCGCCUGGCGGGUAAAACUGCUGGGUGCCGGAGCUAACGCGAUAAGUUCACCACCUGGGGACUACGGCCGCAAGGUUAAAACUCAAAGGAAUUGACGGGGGCCCGCACAAGU